RNA transcript from Panicum virgatum (switchgrass), 3556 nucleotides. RefSeq lists it as uncharacterized. The transcript has 11 exons. Lineage: Eukaryota; Viridiplantae; Streptophyta; Magnoliopsida; Poales; Poaceae. The record is from RefSeq and is a predicted model, not a curated record.
AUCGGGUUAGAGAGCUGGGUCCGCGCGGUGGUGGAGGCCAUCCACUCCUCCCGCUCCCAGGCCGUCAUCUACCUCGCCGGCGGCGCAUCUCAGGCGCUCGGCUGGCUCCUGUCUGUGCCCGGCGCGUCGAGCACCGUCCUCGAGGUCGUCGUGCCCUACUCGAGGGCCUCCAUGGCGCAGCUCCUUGGCAAGAUGCCCUUGCAAUUCACCAGCAAGCAGACUGCAGAGGCCAUGGCUCUGGCUGCGUGCAACCGAGCACUAAAGCUUUCUGGACCAGGUCUGCAAGUUAUGGGUGUUGGAUUUACUGGGUCACUGGCGAGCUCACGUCCAAAACUCGGUGACCAUAGGUAUGCCUGGCUCACAAACUCGCCCCUUCCUUCAGCAGCCUGGAACAGUGGUCAUGCUAGAAUGUUGAAUUCGCGAGUGAGUUAUGAUACGAUCAUAAGUAUCUGAGCAAUGAUGGCACAGAAUUCUCAUGCUUUGAGUCAGUGGAUCUUUUCCCUUUCUUACUAUUCUGACAGCAUUUAUAAGUCUGUUAUCCUCUUUCUUAAUUAUGCACUAUGUAAUACUGUAUAAUAUUUCGCUCUUGUUUUCAAAUAGGUUUUAUGUGUCAACGUGGACACACAAUUGCCUCAGGACAUCACAUGUUAACUUGUCGAAGGGUUUACGGAGCAGAGAGGAAGAAGACAAGGUUUCAAGCUAUUUUUUGCUUAAGGUUUGUUAUACCUCACUAGAUGCACUGCACCUAUAUGUUCCCAACGGUAAUAUGGAUCAAGUUGAACAUCAUGUAUUCAUAAUCAACAAAUACAAACAACCAGUCCUGAGCAUGUGAUCUAUCAGGAUUGGCCCAAAUUUGUUGAUAAUGGAUAUUCUCUUAGUGCUCACCUUAAGAGGUCACCAUGUUGUAGGCGAUAGCAGGUACCUGCAGAGUAUCUGCAACCAUUCAGCAAGACAUUCAAGAAUCUGAAAUUCCAGAAGAAAGUGUGGAAUCAUUUGAUGAAGAUCAAGAGCUCCAGCAAGUUAUAAAUGGGCAAAUUUGCAUGAAAGUCUAUCAUUUUGCUGCUCCACUGGAAAAGAACUUCAGCAGGAAAGUAAUUUUACCUGGUUCAUUCAACCCCUUGCAUGAUGGCCACCUUAGGCUGUUGGAAGUUGCAUCAGGGUUUGUUUUUCUCCCUCUGAAGCUACGAAUAGAAAAUAGCAUUUCUAACAUUUGAUUUCGUCGUGCAAAAGAUUAGCAAGGAGAAAUAAAAUCUGAAAGAAUGGCAAAGAAAGUAGUACAGUGGAUAAUGAGUUGUCAGCUGUCACAGAAAGCUACUGAUCAAAGAGAGGAUUUAGCAUCUUUUGACAAUUGGCAUUUGGCUGCACAACACUAUUUCCAUAUAGCUGUAUUUGUUGCCAAAAUUCUAGACCUACCGCAUGUAGCUUUUUUUCUUGUUCUACUUUGAAGGGGUAAAUUGACUAAUAUCUUUCACAAAUCCUCCUAUUGUAGCAUGUGUGAUGAUGGGAUUCCAUUCUUUGAGAUAUCAGCAAUUAAUGCCGAUAAACCUCCACUAUCUAUUUCAGAAAUUAAGACGCGCGUUGAGCAAUUUAGAAAAGCAGGGAAGAAUGUGAUAAUAUCUAACCAACCGUACUUCUAUAAGAAAGCGGAACUUUUCCCAGGAAGUGCUUUUAUAAUUGGUGCAGACACUGCAGCUAGGCUUGUUAAUCAUAAGUAGACAUGGAUGUUAUGUUGUCUACACUGAAUGAAGUUUACUCAUUGCAGCCUAAGUAUUAUGGAGGAGAUUACAAUAGAUUGCUGGAGAUACUUCUCGAAUGUAAAAGCACAGGUACCACUUUUCUUGUUGGUGGCCGAAAGAUUGAAGGAGUUUUUAAGGCAUGAAUUCACCUCGACAUUUUCUUUACACACAUUUGGAGAGAAAAAAAGGAGGUCAUUUGAUACUGUAUAUACAUGCUACUUGUUUGGAAGGUCCUUGAGGAUUUAGACAUUCCAAAAGAGUUGAGAGACAUGUUCAUCUCCAUACCAGAGGAAACAUUUCGCAUGGAUAUUUCAUCUACUGAAAUAAGGAAGAGCCAAGGGCUCUGAUUUACCAAAUACGGUCAUACUUUACUAUUCUACAGCAGGUUCGAGAUGAUUCUCCACAACUAUAGAAGGAUAGGUACAUUUGGUUGCUAGUAGCAUUCAGAUCUGAAUUCUUCAAGCUCAAUUGGUGUAACUUCUUCACAAUGUGGGAUUUUGUUCACGAAUGAUUUUGCAAAUUAUGAUGGCUAUCUUCAGGGAGUAUAUUUUAGUUAACUUUUGUCUUGACAGGGCCUCUUGGUAUUUUGUUGAGCAAAUUGGAAUCAAUCCUCCUGUAGAACCUUUUGAUGUCUUCACUACCCCUUGCAGCUAAAUGGUCCACCUCUGUCUCAUAUCUUUGGUACAAUGCCGGCAAAGUGUGGGCACAUAGAAAUCCUGUGGAAGUAAGAAAUAUAGACUUGUUAAAUGUAUAUUGACAGUGGGUUUAUAUGUUCUCUUGUGUGUUUAUCUUGUGAACAGUGACUAUUUUCUGUGCUACUCACCAAGAUAUAGCAGACUUGUGAAGCUGUAAGAACUUCCAAUCUCUGACAAUAUUAGUAGGGACAUGAUCACCUAAAUGUUAGAAACAUAAUAUCGUUAGCCCAAGAUUAAAGUGUUGUAUAUUGCACAAAAAGCAUUGGCAAAAUAAUGGCAUUGCAGUUCAGUAAUGUGCGAUGUCUAAGUUUUGCUAUAUUCCAAUCGUCACACGCAGGUAGCAAAGCAAAUGCUUGUUCUGUACCAAGAGGAAUUUCUUCAGAUCCUUUCCACACGCAAUAUCAUAAAGAGCAGCCACAGUGUGUGCCAGUUUGUAAUGGAUGGUCUCUGCUACUUGUCGGAAGGCAUGCUCGGAGAUGAUGACUUCCGGGAUUCUUGGAGGUGCUCUGCAAUGCAAAAUUGAAAAAGGAACUCAUACAUGUUCAAGAGCGGUGCAGCGUUUGACCAAAUGAAGAUGACCAACAUGGCAAGGAUGGCUAUCUGGCAAAGGAGCGGGAUUAUGUUGUAUUCGACCACUUCAAACAGGUACCAUAUCAGCGUAGCUCCGAGGAGGACUCCUGCAGAUAAGUUCCUGUCCUUCCACAGCAGAACGUCCGCCACUGCAAGAGGCAAGCAACGCAAUCCAUGACCACAUCGACUCCGGAUAGAAACCCUGGUAAUAAUUCAAAUGAUGCAAGUUAAUUGUCCAGAAAGAAAAGAAGAGUAGCAUACCUUUCCCUCCACCAAGAAGCUUAUGAAUCGACUUCUGGCUAUGAAACGGACCGCCCACUCGCCCAUCGCCGUGAUCGUCAGGAAAAUGAGGAUGCAUGGCUCUCUGAGUUUGUGACGAUUAAUCUCUUGUCUUGGUUUGUCUGAUCGGUCCGUUGCCGAAAGGGCAUCUUUUAUAAGCCCCCAAAAUGCUAGUAUAAUUAUCCCAGGGGGCCGUAGAUUGAAGAAAAGGAUAGCUUGAUCCGUAGGGAUUGAACCAUCCAGAGGAAUAAACGAAUAAGCGGCAAGUUUGCUUCA